This 301-nucleotide ribosomal RNA is filed under the name uncultured bacterium. Its description in RNAcentral is "partial 16S ribosomal RNA". It matches the Rfam family "Bacterial small subunit ribosomal RNA", at positions 509 to 807 of the family's 1533-position model. The record is from RNAcentral.
CAGUCGCCGCGGUAAUACAGAGGGUGCGAGCGUUAAUCGGAUUUACUGGGCGUAAAGCGUGCGUAGGCGGCUUUUUAAGUCGGAUGUGAAAUCCCUGAGCUUAACUUAGGAAUUGCAUUCGAUACUGGGAAGCUAGAGUAUGGGAGAGGAUGGUAGAAUUCCAGGUGUAGCGGUGAAAUGCGUAGAGAUCUGGAGGAAUACCGAUGGCGAAGGCAGCCAUCUGGCCUAAUACUGACGCUGAGGUACGAAAGCAUGGGGAGCAAACAGGAUUAGAUACCCCGGUAGUCCAUGUCUCUUAUAC